CCGCGCUAGACGGGGAGGUAGCGGUGCCCUGGACCCGCAACCCGCUAUAGCGGGGUCGAACUCCCACCCCCGGCCCGGCCUUGUCGGGCAGCCCGGCGGCGGAGGCGUAGACGACCUGGACCCGCGCAACGGGAACCCGUGAACCCCGUCAGGCCCGGAAGGGAGCAGCGGUAAGCGGGCCGGCCCGUGUGCCGCGGGCCACCCUGGUCCGAGCCGACCCCGUCGGAAGCGCCGGUAGGGUCCUGGUCAAAGGUGGGUGCGCGG
This 264-nucleotide signal recognition particle RNA is filed under the name Bacillota bacterium. RNAcentral's name for it is "signal recognition particle sRNA large type". It matches the Rfam family "Bacterial large signal recognition particle RNA". From Rfam's summary of the family: The signal recognition particle (SRP) is a universally conserved ribonucleoprotein involved in the co-translational targeting of proteins to membranes. The record is from RNAcentral. Lineage: Bacteria; Bacillati; Bacillota.